CAUACUGAAUGUUUGUGCUAAGUUAUUUCUUCCAUGUAGGUUUCUGCUUUCUUGGAGGUUCAGGAUAAUGUUAAUGAUCUCUUGAGUAAAUACUCAACUUCAGUUGGUUAGCAUACAACCCUGACACCAUAAUAAAACAUUCUUUCAAGUCUUAAGAAUAGAUUUGUAGGGCAAAAUGUGAUUUUCUUUUCCAAGUGACAUUGUGAAUCUCAACUGCUUGUGUGAGAGCUGUUUUCUAAGUAAGUUCUCCUCUUAAGACUUUGCAUAAUGCAAAUAGUGUAGCAGAGAAGUUUUGUUCUUGUUCUUUUUAAUUUUAAAAAUAAGCUUUUAUACUUGUAAUAUCCCUAUAACAUAUUUGGAAGAUUGAGAAUGCAUAAAGAGGCACAAUAUAAAUUUUAUAAUAUAAGUAUUAUAUUAUCUUUUUCCAUGAAAGCAAAUUGUUCUGAAAUAUUUUUCAAAAAAAACUUCCUGAAUUGUUUUCUUCCCACUCCUUUUUUUCCCCUUGAGCAACCACCAGACAGAUUUUUCUAAAACCUACAACUGACUUGUCUCUCUCCAGUUGAAAGCUAUUUAAUGCUUUCAGUUAUGUGCAUAGCAGGAUUCAGCCUCCUUAAGGCCCUCUGUGAGUAGCCCUCUGCCCAUAGGAAUCUUGUUGGUGAAUGAGUAGGUAGUUUCCCAAACUUUCAUUGAGAAUUUCUUGUUUAUGCAUCGAAAAUCAAAUAAAAACAGAACCAAAGCUUCUCUUCCCAGCUUCCCCAUCUUGUAAGUGGAUAUCAAACCUGAAAUUUGGAAAUCAGUUUGGAUUGCCCCCUUUCCCUCCUCUACAGUCCUACUUUCUACAUAUCUUUUGAUCUUACCCUGUUCUGCUCUGUUUCCUUGCAACCCGUCACUCCUUUGAGUCUGGUUUUAGCCACAGUCAUCUCCUAACUUGCGAUCUGAUUGUGGCAUUUACCUAUUGGUUCCUUCCUAGACCUCUUUGCAGAGUCCAAACUCUUUCACCUAGUUUCCAAGGCCAUAUUUAUUGACAUGUGCAGAACACUGUUCUAGACAGAGAAUUAAGUGGUGACCAAGACUGGCGAGAUCCUGCCGAUCUCAGGAUCUUACAUUCACUUUGGGGUGAGGUGGUACUGAGGCUGGAUAUUAAACAAGAAAGCCAAUAAAGAAAACAGGGAUUAUAAGGGCUGUGAAUUGAGUAGCCAGAUGCUGCAUUUGUGUGUGUGUGUAUGUGUGUGUGUGUGUAAGCGCCCCCUCCUCAUACUGUGUUCUGUGGACCAGACCUUCAGUUCCUCCUGUUCACCUGUCUCUCUUCUCUCUUUUCUCUCUCCUCUCCUAUCUGCUUCACCCACCUAGGUCUUCUCAGUAGCCACUGUCCUGCUGACAUCCCCUCAUUCCACCCCCCUUGACUAGGUAGGCCUAGUACUUCUGCUGCUGUCUACAUUUCCCAAUUAAUUACCAAGCAACUGUAAUUGCUGGAUUAACAGUCUCUUGUGUUCAUUUUUAAACCCUUAGUACAAACUGCUCAGCCUCAUUUGUGGACAGAAUAACCUGUACCUGGGAGGGAGUACUUCAGCCUGCCUGGGAGAGCUGCUAGACAUUUCCAUUGCUCCCUGCCUGAUACCCUAGCUGGCCCCAGAUGAGCUCUUCUUAUCAACUCCCUGACUUUACUUAGGUGCACUCUUCUUUCUGAGCAGUGUUCUCUGAUAGAAAGCAAGCCUCUUUGUUUGAUUAAUUCUGUACCUGAGUUCCUGACAAUACCUACACAUAGUAAGUGCUCAAUGAAUAGUAAAUCAAAAGCCAAAACAAAUGUAAAACUCGAAUCAAACAAAAACCCAGAGAGAUCUAGUUUGGAAGAAGGAAUGAGAACCAAUUCUAAGGUGAAUAUAAUGAACAAAAGAACCACCCUCCUGGGAGAAACUGCAGGUCAAUAUGAACGUUCACCUUCCUGUAAAAGUAUUUUACCUACCUUGCUACAAACUCUAGUGUCCAUCCAGCCAUUCCACCUUUUGUUUCAGCACAGUACCAGGAUGCCAUCUCUGAUUUCUGUUCAGCCUGCUUUGUUCCACUGGUACUGAAGCCACACUCUUUCCUUCAUUGGAGGUGGGGAUCACCUUUCUUUUCCCAGGAGUCAAUUUCACCUGUGUUUGUAUUUCUCCUUUAUUGUUAUUUUGAGAUUCAUAUUAGAGGCUGCAAAUUAGGGUCAACUUGGAAG
RNAcentral lists this long non-coding RNA (2209 nucleotides) under Marmota monax (woodchuck). The record is from RNAcentral. Lineage: Eukaryota; Metazoa; Chordata; Mammalia; Rodentia; Sciuridae.